GUGGGGAAUUUUGGACAAUGGGCGCAAGCCUGAUCCAGCCAUACCGCGUGAGUGAAGAAGGCCUUCGGGUUGUAAAGCUCUUUCAGCCGGAAAGAAAUCGUGCAGGUUAAUAACCUGUAUGGAUGACGGUACCGGAAGAAGAAGCACCGGCUAACUACGUGCCAGCAGCCGCGGUAAUACGUAGGGUGCGAGCGUUAAUCGGAAUUACUGGGCGUAAAGCGUGCGCAGGCGGUUUUGUAAGACAGACGUGAAAUCCCCGGGCUUAACCUGGGAACUGCGUUUGUGACUGCAAGGCUAGAGUGCGGCAGAGGGGGGUAGAAUUCCACGUGUAGCAGUGAAAUGCGUAGAUAUGUGGAGGAAUACCGAUGGCGAAGGCAGCCCCCUGGGUCGACACUGACGCUCAUGCACGAAAGCGUGGGGAGCAAACAGGAUUAGAAACCCCUGUAGUCC
RNAcentral lists this ribosomal RNA (450 nucleotides) under uncultured bacterium. RNAcentral describes it as "bacterial SSU rRNA". It matches the Rfam family "Bacterial small subunit ribosomal RNA", at positions 354 to 796 of the family's 1533-position model. The record is from RNAcentral.